GUGAAUCAUCGAAUCUUUGAACGCACAUUGCGCCCCUUGGUAUUCCGGGGGGCAUGCCUGUUCGAGCGUCAUUUCAACCCUCAAGCCUAGCUUGGUCUUGGGCUCUGCCGGCAACGGCUGGCCUUAAAAUCAGUGGCGGUGCCAUCGAGCUCUACGCGUAGUAAUUAAACCCUCGCGUGUGAGUCUUGGUGAGUACUUGCCAGUAACCCCCAAUUUUCUAUGGUUGACCUCGGAUCAGGUAGGGAUACCCGCUGAACUUAAGCAUAUCAAUAAGCGGAGGA
RNAcentral lists this unclassified non-coding RNA (281 nucleotides) under Helotiales sp. RNAcentral's name for it is "partial contains 5.8S ribosomal RNA, internal transcribed spacer 2, and large subunit ribosomal RNA". The stretch from base 1 to 71 matches the Rfam family "5.8S ribosomal RNA", at positions 84 to 154 of the family's 154-position model. Lineage: Eukaryota; Fungi; Ascomycota; Leotiomycetes; Helotiales. The record is from RNAcentral.